This 1233-nucleotide ribosomal RNA is filed under the name metagenome. RNAcentral describes it as "bacterial LSU rRNA". It matches the Rfam family "Bacterial large subunit ribosomal RNA", at positions 695 to 1975 of the family's 2925-position model. The record is from RNAcentral.
AAUAGUUGGUAGUAGUAGACGCGAAACCUGGUGAUCUACCCUUGGGCAGGUUGAAGCGCUGGUAACACAGCGUGGAGGACCGAACUGGUUGUCGUUGAAAAGACUUCGGAUGACCUGAGGGUAGGGGUGAAAGGCCAAUCAAACUGGGAAAUAGCUCGUACUCCCCGAAAUGCAUUUAGGUGCAGCGUUGAAGCGAGUUUAAUAGAGGUAGAGCUACUGAUUGGAUGCGGGGGUUUCAUCGCCUACCAAUUCCUGACAAACUCCGAAUGCUAUUAAAUGCUCAUCAGCAGUGAGGGUAUGGGUGCUAAGGUCCAUAUCCUAAAGGGAAAGAACCCGGACCAUCAGCUAAGGUCCCCAAAUAUAUGCUAAGUUGACCAAACGCGGUCUGACUGCACUGACAGCUAGGAUGUUGGCUUGGAAGCAGCCAUACAUUUAAAGAGUGCGUAACAGCUCACUAGUCGAGCGGUUGGGCAUGGAUAAUAAACGGGCAUAAGCAUAUUACCGAAGCUAUGGGGUUAUUACUAAGUAAUAUACCGGUAGGGGAGCAUUCUAUUGGCGUUGAAGCUAAAGGCGUGAGCCAUAGUGGAGCCUAAUAGAAAAGAAAAUGUAGGCAUAAGUAACGAUAAGGCAGGCGAGAAACCUGCCCGCCGAAAGAUCAAGGUUUCCUCAGCUAUGCUAAUCAGCUGAGGGUUAGUCGGGGACUAACGCGAACCCGAGUAGGGGUAGUGGAUGUACAAUAGGUUAAUAUUCCUAUACCAUUAGUCUGUUAAAAGUGACGGAAUGAGAUAACUACCGCGUACUGACGGAAUAGUACGUUUAAGAAGUUGUUAUGACUUCGAAAGUACGCUGAGGCUUCGGCCGAGGUGAGUGUGGUGACAACGUUUCCAAGAAAAGCGAAGAUUAAUGCCCGUACCGUAAACCGACACAGGUGAUUGGGAUGAGAAUUCUAAGGCGCUCGAGAGAUUCAUGGCUAAGGAACUAGGCAAAAUAGACCUGUAACUUCGGGAGAAAGGUCGCCUAUCAAUAGAUAGGCCGCAGUGAAAAGGUCCAAGCGACUGUUUAUCAAAAACACAGGACUCUGCAAAAUCGAAAGAUGAGGUAUAGGGUCUGACACCUGCCCGGUGCUGGAAGGUUAAGAGGAGAGCUUAGUGGUAACACGAAGGUUUGAAUUGAAGCCCCAGUAAACGGCGGCCGUAACUAUAACGGUCCUAAGGUAGCGAAAUUCCUUGUCGG